GGUUCCCCUAAUGGUACGUCCACUCCCUUCACACCCCGUGAAGGAUUUCACUAUGAUCUUUAUAAAGUGAAUCAAGAGAACAAUCCUCUCUCUUUCACUCUCUUGCUUCCAACAAUCCUGGACAGCAAGGUGAUUCCCCUUACAAAGUGAAACAAGAGAACAAUCCUCUCUUUUUCACUCUCUUGCUUCCAACAAUCCUGGAUAGCAAGGUGUUCA
RNAcentral lists this long non-coding RNA (216 nucleotides) under Trifolium pratense (red clover). RNAcentral's name for it is "long non-coding RNA (TPRA_LNC001289)". The record is from RNAcentral. Lineage: Eukaryota; Viridiplantae; Streptophyta; Magnoliopsida; Fabales; Fabaceae.